This 497-nucleotide ribosomal RNA is filed under the name uncultured bacterium. Its description in RNAcentral is "partial 16S ribosomal RNA". It matches the Rfam family "Bacterial small subunit ribosomal RNA", at positions 28 to 507 of the family's 1533-position model. The record is from RNAcentral.
GAUGAACGCUGGCGGCGUGCCUAAUACAUGCAAGUCGAGCGAACAGAUGAGGAGCUUGCUCCUCUGACGUUAGCGGCGGACGGGUGAGUAAAACGUGGAUAACCUACCUAUAAGACUGGGAUAACUUCGGGAAAACGGAGCUAAUACCGGAUAAUAUAUUGAACCGCAUGGUUCAAUAGUGAAAGACGGUUUUGCUGUCACUUAUAGAUGGAUCCGCGCCGCAUUAGCUAGUUGGUAAGGUAACGGCUUACCAAGGCAACGAUGCGUAGCCGACCUGAGAGGGUGAUCUGCCACACUGGAACUGAGACACGGUCCAGACUCCUACGGGAGGCAGCAGUAGGGAAUCUUCCGCAAUGGGCGAAAGCCUGACGGAGCAACGCCGCGUGAGUGAUGAAGGUCUUCGGAUCGUAAAACUCUGUUAUUAGGGAAGAACAAAUGUGUAAGUAACUAUGCACGUCUUGACGGUACCUAAUCAGAAAGCCACGGCUAACUACGUG